UAGCUCAAUGGUAGAGUGCUUGCCUAGCAUGUAUGAGGUCCUGGGUUCAAUCCCCAG
RNAcentral lists this transfer RNA (57 nucleotides) under Urocitellus parryii (Arctic ground squirrel). RNAcentral's name for it is "Spermophilus parryii (Arctic ground squirrel) tRNA". It matches the Rfam family "tRNA", at positions 8 to 63 of the family's 71-position model. From Rfam's summary of the family: Transfer RNA (tRNA) molecules are approximately 80 nucleotides in length. Their secondary structure includes four short double-helical elements and three loops (D, anti-codon, and T loops). RNAcentral also lists the same sequence under 1 other name. Lineage: Eukaryota; Metazoa; Chordata; Mammalia; Rodentia; Sciuridae. The record is from Rfam by way of RNAcentral.